RNAcentral lists this long non-coding RNA (567 nucleotides) under Brassica napus (rape). Its description in RNAcentral is "long non-coding RNA (BNAP_LNC027217)". Lineage: Eukaryota; Viridiplantae; Streptophyta; Magnoliopsida; Brassicales; Brassicaceae. The record is from RNAcentral.
AUAUACGCGUCGUUGCUCAAACAAAAAAAAAAAAAUAUACGUGUCAAACUUCUAUUGGUUCGAUAUCACACGUGCGGGCAAGAGUCUCUCACAUGACCUUCCUUCGAUCUAUUGUAUAUUCAUCACUUUCUAUCACACCGGAAACUUAGCCGGCGAACUAAUCAAUUCAACCUCGAGAUCCAUCACCUCCUCCACACCUUCCUUCAGGUAUGCGUGUAUGAUACUUUAGAACCCCUAGAUUAGCAAUGUCGCAGCUUCGAUGCUCGGACCCUUUUGAAUCGAUCUUUUCUUUGAUUGCGUAAUAGAAGAUCAUUUUGAUUGCUGGGUUGUUAAAAACAAGAACCAAAUUCAAAUAAAGCUUUCUUCUUUGAGCAUUUGAGCUUAGCAAUUAGUUAAAUUAAACCUCUAUUGUGUUAAAUGGCAGAGAUGUAUAACAACAACAACAUGACUCAGGCAGUUCCACAGCCUAACCCUUUUGGCAAUCCCUUCUCUGGCCCUGGCUCUGGCCUUAUCCGAAGUGGCUUGGGUGCCUAUGGGGAGAAAAUAUUCGGAUCCAGCUCUGAGUAU